UACGGAGGGGGCGAGCGUUGUUCGGAAUUACUGGGCGUAAAGCGCACGUAGGCGGACUGGAAAGUCAGGGGUGAAAUCCCUGGGCUCAACCUCGGAACUGCCUUUGAAACUCCCGGUCUUGAGGUCGAGAGAGGUGAGUGGAAUUCCGAGUGUAGAGGUGAAAUUCGUAGAUAUUCGGAGGAACACCAGUGGCGAAGGCGGCUCACUGGCUCGAUACUGACGCUGAGGUGCGAAAGCGUGGGGAGCAAACAGG
This 253-nucleotide ribosomal RNA is filed under the name uncultured bacterium. RNAcentral describes it as "partial 16S ribosomal RNA". It matches the Rfam family "Bacterial small subunit ribosomal RNA", at positions 524 to 776 of the family's 1533-position model. The record is from RNAcentral.